This 429-nucleotide ribosomal RNA is filed under the name bacterium. RNAcentral's name for it is "partial 16S ribosomal RNA". It matches the Rfam family "Bacterial small subunit ribosomal RNA", at positions 355 to 776 of the family's 1533-position model. The record is from RNAcentral.
UAGGGAAUCUUCGGCAAUGGGGGCAACCCUGACCGAGCAACGCCGCGUGAGUGAAGAAGGUUUUCGGAUCGUAAAGCUCUGUUGUAAGAGAAGAACGUGUGUGAGAGUGGAAAGUUCACACAGUGACGGUAACUUACCAGAAAGGGACGGCUAACUACGUGCCAGCAGCCGCGGUAAUACGUAGGUCCCGAGCGUUGUCCGGAUUUAUUGGGCGUAAAGCGAGCGCAGGCGGUUUAAUAAGUCUGAAGUUAAAGGCAGUGGCUUAACCAUUGUUCGCUUUGGAAACUGUUAAACUUGAGUGCAGAAGGGGAGAGUGGAAUUCCAUGUGUAGCGGUGAAAUGCGUAGAUAUAUGGAGGAACACCGGUGGCGAAAGCGGCUCUCUGGUCUGUAACUGACGCUGAGGCUCGAAAGCGUGGGGGGCAAACAGG